Molecule: long non-coding RNA, 872 nt
Filed under: Coturnix japonica (Japanese quail)
Lineage: Eukaryota; Metazoa; Chordata; Aves; Galliformes; Phasianidae
Description: lncRNA (ENSCJPG00005003234.1)
Source: RNAcentral
GAUAAUCAUAUGAAAACCAGCAUUGGCACGUUUUUAGCAGACGAAGUUGGAAGAGGUGAACAUGGACACAAGUUACAAAAAGAAAAAGAAUUGGAUAAAGAAGAAAGAAGGAGAUACAGGGAAAAAAAAGAACAUGCCAUUAGGCAAGAAAAAGACAGACUUUCUAAAGAGAGAAGUCAUAAAUCUUACGCAAAGGAAGAGGAAGAAAGACAUAAGUCAGAGAGGUCUACAGAAGAAUAUUCCCAUGGAGACAGAGGACAACUGGCAGAAGACAGGAAGAGAGUAAAAAGUGGAGAAAUGGAAAGAAAGCAGCUUGAUCUUAGGAAGAGUGAACGCAGAACAGAGGAGGAAAAUCAAGGAGAAGAAAUGAGCCAUGAGCUUGUAAGGAAGAAACAGUGAUUUUUUUUCUUAGAAAAAACCUCAAAACUCAACAGUGCUUUCUUCUGAGCUAACUGUUAAAAUUCGUGUUCGGUUUUUCAACAGGACUGGAAAAGAUAAAGGAAAAAUCAGUGAAAAAGAGAAAAGAGACGCAAGUCAAGAGGUAAAAAUACUUAAUUUUGAUCAUAGAAUAUUGUGUUUUCUCUUGGAUUAAUAACAACUACAAUGUGUAUUUCAAUACAGUGUAAUUUUACCAUUCCGAGCUGAUCUUUAUGUAUAUUCCUUGAUCUUCAGAUAUCUAUCACAAUCUCUUUUCAGAUGUAGCAUCAGAAAGUGGCUUUAUUCUGUAUAAAUUUGCCAAGCAUUAAAGGCAGCCAUAUAUUAAUCUUUUAUCAGUAUCUUCUACACUUGAAAAAGCAAUUCUCAGUAGGUGGGAAGACUUCAGGCAUACGUAAGGUAAAAUAAACUACAUUUAUCUAUAGUUACUCUAAACA